This is a long non-coding RNA of Onychostoma macrolepis, 708 nucleotides long. RefSeq lists it as uncharacterized. Lineage: Eukaryota; Metazoa; Chordata; Actinopteri; Cypriniformes; Cyprinidae. The record is from RefSeq and is a predicted model, not a curated record. The transcript has 4 exons.
CUGGAGCGGAGGAGGUUACCAUGGUAACAGCGCGUCAACUCACUCAGCUGAUAAGUAACGAGAAGCUGUCUCUCUGCUGUCUUCACUGCUUUCAGGUAAGUUUAGUCCCUAAAGUUACACAAAUAAUACAUACAACUGUUCCUGACACUUUCUUACAUGUUACUGACACGUUUCUGUUGAAUCUUUACUUUACAGGAGUGGUUUAGUGUCUUCAAAAAGACCGUUAGCAUCACAACCGUUAACUAUAGAGGCUAACAAUUAGAGGAGCGUCAGAAAAAAAUACCUAAAACAGGGGAAGUUACAAAACAAUUUGUAAUGUGAGCUGCUGACAGAGAUACAGGAAACACAGAGCUGGAGCGGAGCAGAUCUCCUGUCGAAGAACAUCUCCAAAGCACCAUGAACCAUCUGACUAGGCAGUUCGUGAAGACGGAUAACCUGGACAGAAGUCGGUUCCAGAUCCAGCCUCCACACCAGACAUCUCACUCACAAGGAUUGCUGUCUGCUAGAUAUUAUGUGUACUCUUCAGACUUAGGUUCAUGCAGAUAUUAUUCAGGGACAUGAACACUUGAAUACUGCAAAAAUAUACCUUAUUUAAGAAUUUUGUGUUAAUUGCGUGAACAUUAAACAAAUAUAUUUAUUUGACUGUUUUUUUGUUUUGUAUUCCAAAGCACCUAAAAGCCAGUUCACACUGCCAUACUCCAACAGGGU